UGAUAGCAUUUAGGCCUGUAGAACCAGCCUCUCUUGAACCAAAAUCUACUCAAAAUCAUACAAGUGGCCAACAUAUUCCCUUUUAUGCUCAAACCAGUUUGAGUUUCUGUCAUUUGCAACCCAAGAGUCCUAAGGAGAAGGGAACCAAACAGUUACUGUGUCCCACUUGCCUGGGGAAUAUCACUUCACUUAAUUGUCACAACAUCCUUAGGAAGUAUGUGUCUUCCCCCACUUGAUAAAUAGGAAAACUAAGACCCAGAGAAGUUAGGAAAGUAGGCACACACGACUAGGAAGUAGUUGAACUUGGAUUCACUCCUACCUCUCCCUGGCUCUGAAACCCAGGUCCUUUCCACUACUGAAUAUAGCAGGAGCAAAUUUCUGUGAUAAAUCACCCUUUCUAGUGGGGUGUGUGGAAAGCACACUAAAUGAGGGAGGCAGAGUCCUGGCUUUUUUUUUUGUCUGGCUCACCAUACCUUUCAUAUGAGCACUUUUCCUCUCUAAAUCUCAGGGAUGGGGUUGUUUUCAUUUUUGUUUUUUUGUCUAUAAAACCAUGGGGUUUGAACUAGAUACUCAUGAUGCAAGUUCUUUCCAGCCCUAAAAAAUGUAGAAGGCCAAUUCUUGACUAUUUUCUUGAAAUUCCCAAGUUAGGUACUAGAAGAACCAGACAUAGAAGCAAGCCAAUAGGCGAAGGUUCCCUCCGUGAACCUUCUCUCCUAAUUUGGGCAAAUGGAUGAGUCUCUCCCAUGUGCCAGGCACUGAACUGAGGUGCUGUACUUCCGGUGAUGAGAAAUAUAUCUGUUUUCCCUGGAUUCAAGAAGCCAAAAGGCCAGCUGGGGCAGUCAUGAAUUAAGCCAUCGCAAUACGAGUGCGUGAGGAGGAAGAACAAAGAAAAAUGAUGGAGGGAGGAGGGAAGAAAAGUGACUUCUGGAAAGCAUUUGGAAACCUACUCAUGAGAAGGAGAAAGAUUUCCCUUUUUGUUGCCUAAGAGUGGAGGUGCCACCCAUCCCAGAUCUGUGAUCUUCCAGGGACCCCCAGUAGCCUGAAUUCCCCUUCAUGGGGUUACAGGGAGAAGAGGGGCCAGGGAGAAGCCCAGCUGAACAGGUCCCAUGGAAGCCAACACUGGCAGAGAGCGACCCUCAUCUCCAGCCCACACUCCAGGCUCCUAACUGUCUUGCUAACUGCACUGGCCAUCACUGCAA
Long non-coding RNA from Diceros bicornis minor, 1199 nucleotides. RefSeq lists it as uncharacterized. The record is from RefSeq and is a predicted model, not a curated record. The transcript has 3 exons. NCBI's taxonomy places the organism in Eukaryota, Metazoa, Chordata, Mammalia, Perissodactyla, Rhinocerotidae.